This 460-nucleotide ribosomal RNA is filed under the name uncultured bacterium. RNAcentral describes it as "partial 16S ribosomal RNA". It matches the Rfam family "Bacterial small subunit ribosomal RNA", at positions 338 to 795 of the family's 1533-position model. The record is from RNAcentral.
CCUACGGGUGGCAGCAGUGAGGAAUAUUGGUCAAUGGCCGUAAGGCUGAACCAGCCAAGUAGCGUGAGGGAAGACUGCCCUAUGGGUUGUAAACCUCUUUUAUGCGGGGAUAAAGGUUUCCGCGUGUGGAUUUUUGCAGGUACCGCAUGAAUGAGGACCGGCUAAUUCCGUUCCAGCAGCCGCGGUAAUUCGGAGGGUCCGGGCGUUAUCCGGAUUGCUUGGGUUUAAAGGGAGCGUAGGCCGGUCUUUAAGCGUGCCGUGAAAUUUUGUGGCUAAACCAGGGGAGUGCGGCGCGAACUGGAGACCUUGAGUGCGCGGAAGGCAGGCGGAAUUCGUGGUGUAGCGGUGAAAUGCUUAGAUAUCACGAAGAACCCCGAUUGCGAAGGCAGCUUGCCGCAGCGAUACUGACGCUGAAGCUCGAAAGCGCGGGUAUCGAACAGGAUUAGAUACCCUUGUAGUC